CAGGUAACCCUCAAUGCUGAAGUCCUCUAGAUCAGAACAGGUACCACAUGGGCAGCAGCAGUAUGAGCUUACACAUUGUUCUAUGAAUGUGCCUUAUCCCCGAUCUGGAGGGGCCAUCUCUAGGGGUGUGAGAAUAGGUCAAUCUCCAGGUCCAUUCAUUCUUCAGCCUCU
Chelonoidis abingdonii (Abingdon island giant tortoise) is the source of this 171-nucleotide unclassified non-coding RNA. The record is from Ensembl. Lineage: Eukaryota; Metazoa; Chordata; Testudines; Testudinidae.